This 790-nucleotide long non-coding RNA is filed under the name Selaginella moellendorffii. RNAcentral's name for it is "long non-coding RNA (SMOE_LNC002308)". Lineage: Eukaryota; Viridiplantae; Streptophyta; Lycopodiopsida; Selaginellales; Selaginellaceae. The record is from RNAcentral.
UGGGGGCGAAAGAAAGAGGACCAGUAUAGGAUCGGAAAUACUGAUUGAUCCAUCAUUGCUGCUUUUGGACGAGCCAACAUCAGGACUGGAUUCUGCCACAGCUUUGAAAAUCCUGCAAGUUGUUGGGAACAUAGCACAAGUAAGUUCCUUCGCUAUUAUGAUCAGAAGAUCUAAAGUUUUACUUGUUCUAAAGGCAGGAAGAACAAUCCUUACCACGAUCCACCAGCCAUCGAGCAGGCUGUUUCACAUGUUUGACAAGCUGAUAUUGAUAUCUGAGGGCCACACUAUUUACUCGGGUCCUGCCAGGGAAGUGAUGAGUUACUUUUCUUCGCUGCACUUUGUACCAGAGAUAACUAUGAACCCGGCGGAUUUCCUGUUGGAUUUGGCUGUAGGAGUGGUGCAUGAUAUCAGCAUCCCCGAAGAUAUAACUAACCGCAGUCCAGAGGAGGAAAAGCUAGAUAAUGCUGGUGCAAGAGUGAUCAACGUCUUGGACUCGGAGAUAUUCUGCCACACCGUAGCUCCAACGUAUCAGCACGCAACAUCGAUCCCAAGACAUCCCGAAGACAGUCAGCGAAUUAUUGUCCAGGUAAGUUCUCUGCUUCUCAUGUACGCUGAUGGACCGACAUGUUUCCUGCAAAAGCACAGCACCUAAGAAUGAAAUACAAAACAGAACUGGAGCCAAAGGAGAAGCAGAAGAUAUGUACCUUGAAGGUUUCGAACAAUCUCAAGGAGAUGAUCCAAGCCAAACACGACUUCUCAUCAUCCUGGCCACUUCAGUUUAAAGUGCUGU